UACGGAGGAUGCGAGCGUUAUCCGGAUUUAUUGGGUUUAAAGGGUGCGUAGGCGGCUUUUUAAGUCAGCGGUGAAAUUUUGCAGCUUAACUGUAACAGUGCCGUUGAUACUGGGGAGCUAGGAUUUGGUUGCUGUGGGUGGAAUGUGUGGUGUAGCGGUGAAAUGCUUAGAGAUCACACAGAAUAUCGAUUGCGAAGGCAGCUCACAAAGCCAAGAUUGACGCUGAGGCACGAAAGUGUGGGGAUCAAGCAGGA
RNAcentral lists this ribosomal RNA (254 nucleotides) under uncultured prokaryote. RNAcentral describes it as "partial 16S ribosomal RNA". It matches the Rfam family "Bacterial small subunit ribosomal RNA", at positions 524 to 777 of the family's 1533-position model. The record is from RNAcentral.